Long non-coding RNA from Grus americana (Whooping crane), 323 nucleotides. RefSeq lists it as uncharacterized. The record is from RefSeq and is a predicted model, not a curated record. The transcript is spliced from 3 exons. Lineage: Eukaryota; Metazoa; Chordata; Aves; Gruiformes; Gruidae.
UCAGUGAUGAAGAGGAACCCGGCGACUCGGGGACCAUUCCAGUUAGCCUGCGAGGGGCCGAGCGGCGUGCUCACGAGCCGCCUGAGAAGCGUGCCAUGGGUUUCUGGGUGCUGUACAUAAAUGGAAGAGACAGCCCCUGUGGGUUCUCGAGGUGUCCCCGUGGGUCCAGCCGACAGGUUUGAUGAUUUCUGCUGAGGUGCGGCGAGACCGGACGUGUAGUACGGACCCAUGGAGGCGGCAAGCGCGGAACCCUGACAAGGGGGUGAGCAAGGCUUGGUUGUCACAGCCUUAAAUCACCGGGUCCGUGUGAGAGAGCACUUGCU